Molecule: small RNA, 440 nt
Filed under: Arabidopsis thaliana (thale cress)
Lineage: Eukaryota; Viridiplantae; Streptophyta; Magnoliopsida; Brassicales; Brassicaceae
Description: ATSL220420
Source: RNAcentral
UAUUUUAUUUAUUAGCACAGAUUUAUUUACUUAUUUAGUUUUUUUUAGUAUGUGGAAGUUCAAGUCUAAAGGCUCUAUAUUUUCCGGAGGCGGAUUUAUUUCCUUCAAUAGGCUUUCUCAUUUAAUACUUGUUUCAUACUUUACCUUUCUUACACAAUUAAAAUUAUCUUCUCCUAUAAGUAUACUGACUCUCAUGAUCCAUUCAAAACGACUAGCGUUAAAGGAUUUAAACAUUUGUUUCCCUGUUUUCCCCGAAUUAUACCUUUCUUAUACAAUUAAACUUAUCUAUUUUGUUGUAAUCUAGAAUUUUACAUGUACUGUAUAUGUAUACCCAUAAGUACAUUGACUUGAGAUUCAGUUCAUGAGCCAUUCAAAACGACCACGACCAGCGUCAAAGGCUGUGAGGAAGAUGGCGCAAAUGUUGCUACGAAGGGAUCUAU